UAGGGAAUCUUCCGCAAUGGGCGAAAGCCUGACGGAGCAACGCCGCGUGAGUGAUGAAGGUCUUCGGAUCGUAAAACUCUGUUAUUAGGGAAGAACAAAUGUGUAAGUAACUAUGCACGUCUUGACGGUACCUAAUCAGAAAGCCACGGCUAACUACGUGCCAGCAGCCGCGGUAAUACGUAGGUGGCAAGCGUUAUCCGGAAUUAUUGGGCGUAAAGCGCGCGUAGGCGGUUUUUUAAGUCUGAUGUGAAAGCCCACGGCUCAACCGUGGAGGGUCAUUGGAAACUGGAAAACUUGAGUGCAGAAGAGGAAAGUGGAAUUCCAGGUGUAGAGGUGAAAUGCGCAGAGAUAUGGAGGAACACCAGUGGCGAAGGCGACUUUCUGGUCUGUAACUGACGCUGAUGUGCGAAAGCGUGGGGAUCAAACAGG
RNAcentral lists this ribosomal RNA (429 nucleotides) under Actinomycetes bacterium. RNAcentral's name for it is "Actinobacteria bacterium partial 16S ribosomal RNA". It matches the Rfam family "Bacterial small subunit ribosomal RNA", at positions 355 to 776 of the family's 1533-position model. Lineage: Bacteria; Bacillati; Actinomycetota; Actinomycetes. The record is from RNAcentral.